AGCCUAGGGAGAUUUAUCUUAGGUAAAACCUGCCCGGUGACUAGAUUUUAACGGCCGCGGUACUUUGACCGUGCUAAGGUAGCGUAAUCAGUUGACUUUUAAAUGAAGUCUUGUAUGAAUGGAUUUAUGGGAUUAAGCUGUCUCUUAUGUAUUCUAUUGAAAUUACUAAUUAGGUGAAAAGGCCUAAAAAUGAAAAAAGACGAGAAGACCCUUAGAGUUUUAAUAAAAGGUUUUUGUUGGGGCGACAAGAAGACAUUUUUUAACUCUUCUAUUGCAAAAUUUAUCUUGCCGGUUCUUUUAAGUAUGGAUAAACUACCUUAGGGAUAACAGCAUAAUCCAUUUUGGGUUUGUGACCUCGAUGUUGGACUAGGAAAAUUAUACCCUAGCAGGGUGUGUAUUUAGGUUCUGUUCGAACUUCUUUUCCU
Molecule: ribosomal RNA, 425 nt
Filed under: Aplysia japonica
Lineage: Eukaryota; Metazoa; Mollusca; Gastropoda; Aplysiida; Aplysiidae
Description: partial 16S ribosomal RNA
Rfam family: Bacterial large subunit ribosomal RNA
Source: RNAcentral